This 507-nucleotide ribosomal RNA is filed under the name fungal endophyte. RNAcentral's name for it is "eukaryotic LSU rRNA". The stretch from base 181 to 334 matches the Rfam family "5.8S ribosomal RNA". The record is from RNAcentral. Lineage: Eukaryota; Fungi.
CAUUGCUGGAACGCGCUUCGGCGCACCCAGAAACCCUUUGUGAACUUAUACCUAUCUGUUGCCUCGGCGCAGGCCGGCUUCUUCACUGAAGCCCCCUGGAAACAGGGAGCAGCCCGCCGGCGGCCAACUAAACUCUUGUUUCUAUAGUGAAUCUCUGAGUAAAAAACAUAAAUGAAUCAAAACUUUCAACAACGGAUCUCUUGGUUCUGGCAUCGAUGAAGAACGCAGCGAAAUGCGAUAAGUAAUGUGAAUUGCAGAAUUCAGUGAAUCAUCGAAUCUUUGAACGCACAUUGCGCCCUCUGGUAUUCCGGAGGGCAUGCCUGUUCGAGCGUCAUUUCAACCCUCAAGCCUGGCUUGGUGAUGGGGCACUACUUCCUCACGGGAGUAGGCCCUGAAAUUCAGUGGCGAGCUCGCCAGGACCCCGAGCGUAGUAGUUAUAUCUCGCUUUGGAAGGNCCUGGCGGUGCCCUGCCGUUAAACCCCCAACUUCUGAAAAUUUGACCUCGGA